CCAAAGGGGGCUUCGGCUCUCGCCUUUAGAUUGGCCCAAGUGGGAUUAGCUAGUUGGUGAGGUAAUGGCUCACCAAGGCGACGAUCCCUAGCUGGUUUGAGAGGAUGAUCAGCCACACUGGGACUGAGACACGGCCCAGACUCCUACGGGAGGCAGCAGUGGGGAAUAUUGCACAAUGGGCGCAAGCCUGAUGCAGCCAUGCCGCGUGUGUGAAGAAGGCCUUCGGGUUGUAAAGCACUUUCAGUCAGGAGGAAAGGUUAGUGGUUAAUACCCGCUAGCUGUGACGUUACUGACAGAAGAAGCACCGGCUAACUCCGUGCCAGCAGCCGCGGUAAUACGGAGGGUGCGAGCGUUAAUCGGAAUUACUGGGCGUAAAGCGUACGCAGGCGGUUUGUUAAGCGAGAUGUGAAAGCCCCGGGCUCAACCUGGGAACUGCAUUUCGAACUGGCAAACUAGAGUGUGAUAGAGGGUGGUAGAAUUUCAGGUGUAGCGGUGAAAUGCGUAGAGAUCUGAAGGAAUACCGAUGGCGAAGGCAGCCACCUGGGGUCAACACUGACGCUCAUGUACGAAAGCGUGGGGAGCAAACGGGAUUAGAUACCCCGGUAGUCCACGCCGUAAACGAUGUCUACUAGAAGCUCGGAGCCUCGGUUCUGUUUUUCAAAGCUAACGCAUUAAGUAGACCGCCUGGGGAGUACGGCCGCAAGGUUAAAACUCAAAUGAUUUGACGGGGGCCCGCCACAAGCGGUGGAGCAUGUGGUUUAAUUCGAUGCACCGCGAAGAACCUUACCUCCCCUGGACAUACAGAGAACUUAUCCAAAGAGGGUUUGGUGCCUUCCGGAACUCUGAUACAGG
This 852-nucleotide ribosomal RNA is filed under the name Pseudoalteromonas sp. F53. RNAcentral's name for it is "bacterial SSU rRNA". It matches the Rfam family "Bacterial small subunit ribosomal RNA", at positions 201 to 1038 of the family's 1533-position model. The record is from RNAcentral. Lineage: Bacteria; Pseudomonadati; Pseudomonadota; Gammaproteobacteria; Alteromonadales; Pseudoalteromonadaceae.